UUUCCGUAGGUGAACCUGCGGAAGGAUCAUUACAGAGCUAAAGAGCGAAAGGGAAGAUCCCGGACCGUUGUGUACUACUUCUUUGUUGUUUUGGCGAGCGCAAGCUCGCUAGGGAAUGCAAAAAGUCUUUUUUUUAAUGUCGUCUGAGUUAUAUAUAAUAGCUAAUACUUUCAAAAACGGAACUCUUGGUUCAGGCAUCGAUGAAGAACGAAGCAGAUAGAAAGAGCACACGUCUGAAACGAAGUCAGGCAUAACCACCCAGACUGCCUUAUUAUGCUU
This 279-nucleotide unclassified non-coding RNA is filed under the name plant metagenome. Its description in RNAcentral is "partial contains small subunit ribosomal RNA, internal transcribed spacer 1, and 5.8S ribosomal RNA". The record is from RNAcentral.